RNAcentral lists this ribosomal RNA (325 nucleotides) under uncultured eukaryote. RNAcentral's name for it is "partial 18S ribosomal RNA". It matches the Rfam family "Eukaryotic small subunit ribosomal RNA", at positions 1470 to 1796 of the family's 1831-position model. The record is from RNAcentral.
CCCUUAGAUGUUCUGGGCCGCACGCGCGCUACACUGAUGCAUUCAACGAGUCUAAAACCUGCUCUGAUAGGGGUGGGUAAUCUUUUGAAUGUGCAUCGUGAUUGGGAUAGAUGAUUGAAAUUUUUCAUCUUCAACGAGGAAUGCCUAGUAAACGCAAGUCAUCAGCUUGCAUUGAUUACGUCCCUGCCCUUUGUACACACCGCCCGUCGCUCCUACCGAUUGAAUGCUCAGGUGAGCCAUUCGGACUUUCAUCAUGCUGGUUUCCAGUUUUGAUGAAGGAAAGUCUUGCGAACCUUAUCAUUUAGAGGAAGGAGAAGUCGUAACA